Cornus florida is the source of this 458-nucleotide long non-coding RNA. RefSeq lists it as uncharacterized. NCBI's taxonomy places the organism in Eukaryota, Viridiplantae, Streptophyta, Magnoliopsida, Cornales, Cornaceae. The record is from RefSeq and is a predicted model, not a curated record. The transcript has 4 exons.
AGAACAAAAACUGCUGACACAAACUGAUCUCCUCUGACAUCCAAUUCAUGGCCUUUUGAUAUACCCAUUUGGGUCCAACUUUGGAUAAUGCAAAUGCUUUGAAGGCUCAACUCGUUCAGCAGAAGGGUAUUGUUAAUAGUCUUGUCUCCAAUACACGGCAUUUGGAAAGUAAGAUACUGGAGGCAAGGUCAAAGACAGAUACUUUGAAAGCACGUGCACAGUCUGCAAAUUUUGGCCAUGGAGUCGCAAGCCGAGGCACUUAAUCAGCUAACAACUGACAAUCUUGAAGGAAGGGUAGCAUUUUUCACUUCUUCGGUUCAUCAUAUUCAUAUUUUGUGUUUUCUCACUAAUGUUUAAGAAUCAGCAUGCAAAUCGACUUUUAUAGAAGGGGUCAGGUUCCUUGUGAAAAUAGAUGAACAAGUGGAAGUAAGUUGCUAAAAUUUCUCUUUUUGAUGCGU